RNAcentral lists this long non-coding RNA (3947 nucleotides) under Homo sapiens (human). RNAcentral describes it as "HSALNT0363803". Lineage: Eukaryota; Metazoa; Chordata; Mammalia; Primates; Hominidae. The record is from RNAcentral.
GACCUCAAGUGAUCUGCCCGCCUCGGCCUCCCAAAGUGUUGGGAUUAUAGGCAUGAGCUACCACACCUGGCUGCCCAUUUUCACAUAGAUGGAAGCAGAGCUCCCUCCCCGUGCUAAGCUGCAGCAUGCGCUCAAUGCCACUGCCACUCCCAGUCACGGGACACCAAGGAAUGUCCUUCUGGGCUCAGGGGGCCAACUGCUGAAGGGAGAAAGCACGAGGGGCAAAGUUCCCUGGCAGCGGGAGGGCUGUCCCCCACUCAGGGCACCAUGGCCCCAGCCCUGCUGGGGCAACCCAGAGAACCCUGAGGCAGGAGACAGGGAGAGUGGUGAGGCCUUCCCCUGCACAAGCAUCCAGAACUCCUGAGAGCUCUUCAGAGUAGGAAGGGAGGUGCCAGGUGACCUCGCCUGACCACAAAUGUGAGGAACCCGAGGCCUACAGAGGAAGAGUCCAGCCAGUCCACAAACACCCACUGGGCACCAGCCAGGUGCUGGGGACACUGGGAUGAAUGUGACCAGCUCUGAAGAGGCUCCUCAUCAGGUAAGCACCCACUUGGCUGGAGCUCAGACCCUCAAAAUCUGCCCCAGAAACUUCUCCAGCCCCGUCUGACCUCCUUUUCCUCCCUCUGCUCCCACAUCCACAGGCUCCUUACAGGGUCCUCAUGACACAGUGUCAUGUGCUGCCUCCUUUCACCUCUGCUCCAGCUGUUGGAAGAAUGCCCUUCCCAGCCACCUGGAGCCCAUCCACCCCCACUCCCCCAUCUCUUCUUCGCAGAGCCUCACUUAAGUGCCCCCCAACCCCAAGCUGAGACUGAUGGACCCCAGGAGGAAGCUCGCUCCCUUCUCCCCCUCCCCCCUCCUCCUCCUCCGGGCCUCCCCAUGCUCUUGACCUCCCUUGCAACAUCUGUGCACUCUGCCCAGGGUAAUGGGUCCUGGAAUUGCCUCACUCUCUGCCCCUCAGGACCUGGGACUAAGAAGGUACAGCUCCGCUGAAUUGAGUAAAUGUGUCACCCACCCAAAGCAACGACCCAGAGCAAUUAACAGAUCACUUCUUCCUUUUAAGGCAUGUAUUUAAGGCUUGUCUUUCUUUGAAAACCCUCGGAGGAAAGAGAUGCAGCACUGUGGGGGAAAAAUGAAAUGGAAGAGACUUAGAUUGUCUUGGCAUUUCCAAGUGCUGGCUCUGUUCCUGGCACACAGUAGAUGUCUGAGAUAUGUUCUUUUGGUGGAUGAAAGAAUAAAAAUAUCUCCACGGCCACUUGCCCCUGCUGCCUGAAGUUCCACCAUUAUCACUGAAUCUUUUCUGGGGCUAAAGAGUAUUCCCUGUGAUGCUCUCUCAAAAUGCAGUCCUGGGCCAGGAAACUAGCUCUGGCUGGGGGUUUCCUUGCACAAAACAGCAAGGUCAGGGUUUGCCCAUGAGAUCUUCUCACUGCAUUCUCAAGACGGUGUGUCCAGACCCUGCUCUUUGACCAAGGAGUUGCAUGUUCAAAUAAGCUUAGGAAAGGCUGGCUGCACACUCUGCCACCCAUUGGGGUCCCUAAUUCGUAUUAAUACAUUAAAGACCCUGAGAAGGCCUGUUUGGAUUUAUGUGACCUAGCGUUUCCCAAAUCUGUAUGCUCAUGCAUCCUUGAAUCCAUUCCCAUGCCACGGGACUAGGGCUCCUCAGGGGACAGUUUGGGGAGUGUGGACUAGAUAGUGCGCCUGGGUCCAGGCGGGACAAGGUCUGCAGGUUGAAGGGUGUCUGUGGCUGCCACCCAGCCAGGGCCAUGCUUCCCUGCACUGACCAUUUGACAGAGGCAAAAAGUCCAACCUCAGCCACCACCACCAAUAGCUCAUGACAGAGACAGAUAAUGAACAUGGCAUCAGACAGCCUCCAAACGUAGCGCAAAGGAGGGAGAAGGUAACAGAGUGGGCCAGAGACCUGAGUGAGUUCCAACUGUGACUUUGUGCUCACUGCUGGCCAUUGGGCGGGGGGACCCCAUCCUGCUAAGCUUUGUUUUCAUCAUCUGCAAAAUGGGGAUAAUGCUAUUCUCAGGGCUGUUGUGAAGAUUGAGGUAAUGCAAGCAGAGGCAGAUUACAAACUGUCAAGUCCUGUGCCAGCAUUUGCUGUGUGCAUCAUUAUUUUACUGCAUGCAUGGCCAGGAGGGUGUGGUAAUGUCUUGAUUGAUCACAAGCCACUGCAGAGGUCCUCAAUCAGGACAGAUGGAUGGAUGGAUACAUGGAUGCAUGGAAGAAUGCACAGACAGAAUCCCCAGUGUGACACAGGCUCACCAAUGGCUGACUGGUUGAAUAGGCUGUGGGACCUCAAGCCAGUCACCUCACCUGCCUGAGCCCGAGGUUUCUCACCUGCAAAAUGAGGGAUGAAAGCGGAUCUCAUGUGGGAAAGGAGCCACUCCAAGGAGAGACUCAAACAUGACUGCCCUUGAGCUGGGUGAGUUCAGCUGAGUGGGUAGGAAGGGGAGCACCAGGCUCUGUUUUGAGGAGGGAGGCAAAACCCUACCUACCAGGAAUCACCCAUCUAACCUUGAAUUCUCGGCCUGCCCUUGGCAGUCCUGGUCUGAGAGAUGGACUCAGCUGCUACCACUGCCAGCCACCAGCAGGACCCUAUCUGCUGUCUUCCCAGGUUGGCUAGGGUCCCAGAGGGGGAGAAGCAGGAGAAGGGUCUUCAGUCAGAACUACAUAUGUCUUCACUGGAGGGACCUGGGCCCUAGAGCACAGACAUCCUUGCAGGCCCACGGUGGCCCGAAAUGGUUGCUAACUGGCCUUGGGCCACACAGUGAGACGGAGGUGCCAGGACCCAGGCCUUUAGGCCCAGCCCAGGGCUCUCUGCACGGGCCCAAAGUCACCCCUUUUGGAGCAUGCAUUAAGCACAGAGAGGAAGAACAGUGUGAAGAGUUAGGAUGAUGCACCCCCUAUCCUGCCAUGGUCAAGAGGCUCUGGCCAUUGACAGUUGAACCCCCAAGCUCCAAGGUGAAAAUCAACACCUGGUCACCCAGUUCUCUGCUUCACUCACUGCAGGCACUGACAGGGCACAUCUGGACAGAGGAGGGGCUCAGUCUGCCUCUGCAGAGUCCCCAGCAAGAGGAAGAAGGCUCCAAUUGCAGCAGAGUGGACUUCAAUUAGUCUCAAGAAAGAACUUCCUGCAGAGGCAUUAAGCAUGAACAGCAUACAGAGAAGGGGGGCAUGAUGAGGGCAACUGUAGCAUCUCCUCUGAAAUACAGGAUGCUGUCUCAUUCAUUAUGUCAUUUUACUUUCAAACCAGCCUGGAAGGUAAUCCCAGGAAGUCCUUCCUACAAAUGCAUUUUAUAGGAGAAACAACUCGUGCUCAAAGAGAUAAAAUGAUUCUUCCAGGGUCAUCCUGCCAAUGAGGAAACUGAGGCUCCGAGAAGACACGCAGGGAGCAGCUGCAUGCUGGAACCCAGGUUAACUGGAUUACCAAGUCUUCCCACUCCCCUCAUCUCUCCAGGCAGGAAGGUCCUGGGGGGAGGAAGCAGCCUCGGAAGGAAUGAGCUCCUUGUCCUGGGGAUGUGCAAGUAUUGUCUUGGGACACUGUGGGAGGUAGGCUGCAGAGGGCAGCCAGGUGGCUCUCAAACUGAAAUCACCAGGGGAGCUUCAUCAACUACUGAUGCCUGGGUCAUGCCCCAGAGAUUGUGGGGCCUGCAGGACUUUUAAAAGUUUCCCAGAUGAUUCUAAUGUGAAACAAAGUUUGAAAGCCAUGGGCUUGGAUGCCCACUGCUGCCCUUCCCACCUCUGAAACUCUCCUGCCACACGCCUUUCUAAGGAAAGAAGGGAUUUAUUACCCUGACCCCAUUUUACAAAAUGGGCAGAAGCCAAGCAAAAUAUAAGGGUGUCCUCAAGGCCCCACAGCCAGCAACAAAUCGAGGCAGCAUGAGGGGUCCCCUGAUUUCAGACUGCCCCUGGGGUGAGCUUCUUUAAGACACUUGGGGGUUCCA